AACGAACGCUGGCGGCAGGCCUAACACAUGCAAGUCGAACGAUGUAGCAAUACAUAGUGGCGCACGGGUGAGUAACGCGUGGGAAUGUACCUUUUGGUGGGGAAUAACUCCGGGAAACUGGAGCUAAUACCGCAUACGCCCUUCGGGGGAAAGAUUUAUCGCCAAAAGAUAAGCCCGCGUGAGAUAAGAUAGUUGGUGGGGUAAUGGCCUACCAAGGUUACGAUCUCUAGCUGGUCUUAGUGGAUGACCAGCCACACUGGAACUGAGACACGGUCCAGACUCCUACGGGAGGCAGCAGUGGGGAAUAUUGGACAAUGGGCGAAAGCCUGAUCCAGCCACGCCGCGUGAGUGAUGAAGGCUCUAGGGUUGUAAAGCACUUUCAGCGGGGAGGAAGGCGGUGAGGUUAAUAACCUCAUCGAUUGACGUUACCCGCAGAAGAAGCACCGGCUAACUCCGUGCCAGCAGCCGCCGUAA
Molecule: ribosomal RNA, 474 nt
Filed under: uncultured bacterium
Lineage: Bacteria
Description: partial 16S ribosomal RNA
Rfam family: Bacterial small subunit ribosomal RNA
Source: RNAcentral